This 845-nucleotide ribosomal RNA is filed under the name Trichocladium griseum. RNAcentral describes it as "partial large subunit ribosomal RNA". It matches the Rfam family "Eukaryotic large subunit ribosomal RNA", at positions 50 to 927 of the family's 3401-position model. Lineage: Eukaryota; Fungi; Ascomycota; Sordariomycetes; Sordariales; Chaetomiaceae. The record is from RNAcentral.
UCAAAUUAAAAGAAACCAACAGGGAUUGCCCUAGAAACGGCGAGUGAAGCGGCAACAGCUCAAAUUUGAAAUCUGGCUUCGGCGCGAGUUGUAAUUUGUAGAGCAUGCUUUGGGCGCGGCUCUAACUGAGUUCCCUGGUACGGGACGCCACAGAGGGUGAGAGCCCCGUAUAGUUAGAUGCCUAGCCUAUGUAAAGCUCCUACGACGAGUCGAGUAGUUUGGGAUUGCUGCUCUAAAUGGGAGGUAAAUUUCUUCUAAAGCUAAAUAUUGGCGAGAGAGCGAUAGCGCACAAGUAGAGUGAUCGAAAGAUGAAAAGCACUUUGAAAAGUGGGUUAAAUAGCACGUGAAAUUGUUGUAAGGGAAGCGCUUGUGACCAGACUUGCGCCGGGCAGAUCAUCCGGUGUUCUCACCGGUGCACUCUGCCCGCCUCAGGCCAGCAUCGGUUCUCGUGGGGGGAUAAAGGUCCCGGGAACGUAGCUCCUCCGGGUGUGUUAUAGCCCGGGGCGUAAUGCCCUCGUGGGGACCGAGGUACGCGCAUCUGCAAGGAUGCUGGCGUAAUGGUCAUCAGCGACCGGUCUUGAAACACGGACCUAGGAGUCAAGGUUUUGCGCGAGUGUUUGGGUGUAAAACCCCCACGCGUAAUGAAAGUGAACGUAGGUGAGAGCUUCGGCGCAUCAUCGACCGAUCCUGAUGUAUUCGGAUGGAUUUGAGUAAGAGCGUUAAGCCUUGGACCCGAAAGAUGGUGAACUAUGCUUGGAUAGGGUGAAGCCAGAGGAAACUCUGGUGGAGGCUCGCAGCGGUUCUGACGUCCAAAUCGAUCGUCUAAUCUGAGCAUGCCGGGCGUA